AAGCAUUGAUACAAAGCUCUCCCUUUAUUACUAUAAUAUUCCAAUGCUUUCUUUUCAGAAAAAAUAAUCUGAUGCUGUUUUCAAGAUCCACACUUAUAACAAGAAUAAACAAAACACUUGCAUAGUUUCCGUUGAUAUGUGAUUUAUUCAAACUUGUCCGCUUAUUGAAAUAGCAAAAGAUCUUUCGCCUCGGGUGACAUGUGUACAGUUGAAAACUUUGGUGACUAAGAGCAUGUCCAUUGCAGGGACCUUACAAGUUUCUUAAGAGAAUCCUAAUGAAAAGAAGCAAAAAAUUAAAUCAAAAUUGUCUAAUUAACCAAGGUGCGAACCUUGAAUAAGGUAUUUUUGGGUGAGUAAGGUUCGCUGACGUGGCACUAUAUCAUUGGAGGACCAAUAAAACAAAACAAGUUUUUUUCCUUUCUUCUUUCUCUCCUCUC
Molecule: long non-coding RNA, 437 nt
Organism: Arabidopsis thaliana (thale cress)
Lineage: Eukaryota; Viridiplantae; Streptophyta; Magnoliopsida; Brassicales; Brassicaceae
Product: other RNA
Exons: 1
Source: RefSeq